Tachyglossus aculeatus (Australian echidna) is the source of this 394-nucleotide long non-coding RNA. RefSeq lists it as uncharacterized. The record is from RefSeq and is a predicted model, not a curated record. NCBI's taxonomy places the organism in Eukaryota, Metazoa, Chordata, Mammalia, Monotremata, Tachyglossidae. The transcript has 2 exons.
CCCAGAGACACCUGGAUCCCAGAGAUGACUGGACUUAGAAACACCUGGAUCCCAGAGAUGCAGGACCUCAAAGACACCUGGAUCCCAGAGACACCAGCCCCUAAAGACAUCUGAAUCCCAGAGAGGCACUUCCUGUUCCAGUUGAAUCGUUUCCUGUCCUGUCAGAGGUCGUGUCCGUCCGGGCCACUCCGCUUCCUGUCCAAGAGUGGAUCGCUUCCUCUUUCAGCGGUGGCCAAUUCAGUCUUGAGAUGGGUAACUUCCCGUCCAGCUCAACUCAACUCACUUCCUGCCCUGACCAAGCCACUACCUGGACAAACCGAGUCAACUUCUUGUGGCAGUGGCCGUCUUCCUUUAGCUUCCCGCCCCGCCUCAAUAAAAAAUAAUAACUGUUGAA